UACGUAGGGGGCAAGCGUUGUCCGGAAUGACUGGGCGUAAAGGGUGCGUAGGCGGUCGGAUAAGUUAGAGGUGAAAUCCCGAGGCUCAACUUCGGAAUUGCCUCUGAUACUGUUCGGCUAGAGAGUAGUUGCGGUAGGCGGAAUGUAUGGUGUAGCGGUGAAAUGCUUAGAGAUCAUACAGAACACCGAUUGCGAAGGCAGCAUACCGGCGCCCUACUGACGCUGAGGCACGAAAGUGCGGGUAUCGAACAGG
Molecule: ribosomal RNA, 253 nt
Filed under: uncultured Rikenellaceae bacterium
Lineage: Bacteria; Pseudomonadati; Bacteroidota; Bacteroidia; Bacteroidales; Rikenellaceae
Description: partial 16S ribosomal RNA
Rfam family: Bacterial small subunit ribosomal RNA
Source: RNAcentral